RNAcentral lists this ribosomal RNA (861 nucleotides) under uncultured fungus. Its description in RNAcentral is "eukaryotic LSU rRNA". It matches the Rfam family "Eukaryotic large subunit ribosomal RNA", at positions 24 to 664 of the family's 3401-position model. The record is from RNAcentral. Lineage: Eukaryota; Fungi.
CCCGCUGAACUUAAGCAUAUCAGUAAGCGGAGGAAAAGAAACUAACAAGGAUUCCCACAGUAACGGCGAGUGAAGAGGGAACAGCUCAAAAUGGGAAUCGGCCAUGCCAAGGGGAUGGUUGAAUUGUAGACUAAAGAGGGGGGCCAGUGGGGGAAAGGCGUGGCCAAGAGCUCUGGAAGGGGCCAUCAAGGAGGGUGACAAUCCCGUGGGCCACGCCGGAAGCCAGCCGUGGAAAGACGGGGCCUUGCCUCGACGAGUCGAGUUGUUUGGGAUUGCAGCUCAAAGGGGGUGGUAAACCGCAUCCAAGGCUAAAUAGGGGCAAGAGACCGAUAGCGAACAAGUACCGUGAGGGAAAGAUGAAAAGCACCUUGAAAAGGGAGUGAAAGAGAGCGUGAAAUUGUUAAAAAGGAAGCGAAUGUGGUUAGGACAGAGUGCAUGGGGGAGGGAGCGUGAAGGGGGGGAUGGUGAUGCGGGGAGAGAUGCUCGGCACGGAACCACCCGGAACACGAUCGGAAGCCGUGGACGAAUUGGGACCAUUUGGAGGGGGACUAGAAUGCUUGGGGAAGGUGUCAGUGUGGGGAACCACACGGACCAUAGAGCCGCAAGAGAUGGUCCUCUGGGGAAUGGAGUGAGGCAGUGGGGGAGUGAGGGACGGAACAAGGUGGCAAGAGGGGGAAUCAUGGAGGAUGGGGGAACACUGACUGCAAGCAGAGAGUGUACCGGAUCCACAGGUGACCGCGGGUUCCGGCAUGGAAAGAUGACGGGACCGAACCCACAUGCAGAGAACCGAGUGACGUGACACGACCCGUGCGCAGCCACACGACUCAAGACCGACCACAUACGACCCGUCUUGAAACACGG